AAUCAACGCUGGCGGCGUGCCUAACACAUGCAAGUCGAACGCGAGAGGGGCUUCGGCCCCGAUUGAGUGGCGAACGGGUGAGUAACGCGUGGGUGACCUACCUUCGAGUGGGGGAUAACGUCCCGAAAGGGACGCUAAUACCGCAUAACAUCCUGCUUUUGAAUGGGUGGAGAUCAAAGCCGGGGAUCGCAAGACCUGGCGCUUGAUGAGGGGCCCGCGUCUGAUUAGCUAGNGGUGAGGUAACGGCCCACCAAGGCAACGAUCAGUAUCCGGCCUGAGAGGGCGGACGGACACACUGGGACUGAGACACGGCCCAGACUCCUACGGGAGGCAGCAGUGGGGAAUUGUUCGCAAUGGGCGCAAGCCUGACGACGCAACGCCGCGUGGAGGAUGAAGGUCUUCGGAUUGUAAACUCCUGUUGCCCGGGACGAAUGGCUCCGACCUACACGUCGGAGUGUGACGGU
This 464-nucleotide ribosomal RNA is filed under the name uncultured bacterium. RNAcentral describes it as "bacterial SSU rRNA". It matches the Rfam family "Bacterial small subunit ribosomal RNA", at positions 28 to 476 of the family's 1533-position model. The record is from RNAcentral.